UGAACGCUGGCGGCGUGCUUAACACAUGCAAGUCGUACGAGAAAGCUUCAGCUUGCUGAAGCAAGUAAAGUGGCGUACGGGUGAGUAACGCGUGGGUAAUCUACCUCCGAAUCGGGGAUAACUCCACGAAAGCGGGGCUAAUACCGGAUAAUAUUUUUUAAGCUCAGGCUUUGUAAAUCAAAGGUGGUCUCUACAUGUAAGCUACCGUUUGGGGAUGAGCCCGCGUACCAUUAGCUUGUUGGUAGGGUAACAGCCUACCAAGGCUACGAUGGUUAGCUGGUCUGAGAGGAUGAUCAGCCACACUGGAACUGACACACGGUCCAGACUCCUACGGGAGGCAGCAGUGAGGAAUUUUGCGCAAUGGGGGAAACCCUGACGCAGCAACGCCGCGUGAGUGAUGAAGGCCUUCGGGUCGUAAAGCUCUGUCAAGUGGGAAGAAACUGUUCUGUAAUAAUACUGCAGUACACUGACGGUACCAUUGAAGGAAGCACCGGCUAACUCC
RNAcentral lists this ribosomal RNA (502 nucleotides) under uncultured bacterium. RNAcentral's name for it is "bacterial SSU rRNA". It matches the Rfam family "Bacterial small subunit ribosomal RNA", at positions 30 to 504 of the family's 1533-position model. The record is from RNAcentral.